This 501-nucleotide ribosomal RNA is filed under the name Triticum aestivum (bread wheat). RNAcentral describes it as "partial small subunit ribosomal RNA". The record is from RNAcentral. Lineage: Eukaryota; Viridiplantae; Streptophyta; Magnoliopsida; Poales; Poaceae.
AUGAGAAAUGAGGAUGCCGUUGUGACCUUCAAAUGGAUAUGGAAAACUUUCUGCCUACCGAAGCAUAAAUUCUUUUGCUGGCUUCUACUUCAUGACAGAAUAAACACAUGUGGUCUCCUGACCAGGAAGAAUACGCAACUUGAUUCCACUCAAUGUGUAUUAUGUAAUGCUGGAGAUUUGGAAGAUAGAAUGCAUAUGUUAUUUUCCUGCCCAUUUAGCCAGGGAUUUUGGUGGAAGAUUGGUUUUGAAUGGAACACAGAUCUGAAUUUUCAUGAUAUGAUAAUUGAAGCACAACAAAGAUAUCAACUACACCACUUCAUGGAAAUUAUGAUAGUGGGUUGCUGGAGUAUAUGGAAUUAAAGAAAUGGUCUGAUAUUUGAUGGAACCCCAUGCUCAAUCAAUGAAUGCAGAUAUGAAUUUAUCAGAUCUUUCAAAUUAACAAUGUUGAGAGCUAAACCCAUUCUCAAGGAGGGCAUGUCAUCUUGGAUUGACAACAUAUAA